CCCGUUUGGGUUAAUACUCUGAUGCACGUUAUUUAUUGAUUAAUUGAUUAUUGGGAGCGGGGUGUUACACACUCCAAUCGAUUGUGAAUCUCAUCGCCAUCAAGAAGGGAUCCUCUAACCAAGAAGGGAAAAAGAAUGGAAAACAUCCCUGAGCAACUUCAUUCCCAAGAUUACUAGUGGUUCGUGGAGGGUGCAUAUAAAUGCAUUUCUUGGCAAUAGUUGUAGUCAGGCUAACCAUAACAUAAUGAUGCGUAAAGCUAUGAAUGGAACAUUUUAAAGGCUCUAAACAUUAGGUAGGCUGGAUAAAGGACAUGAUUCCUUGGCGGCGAGUUCCAUGCUAGAUUUUCCAUUGAGCAUGGAAGAUGUAAAGAAAGGUUUUCACAUAGGCCUUAAUUUCGUAACAUUGGCAUACCAUUACAAAGGCAUUCAUGUAUCUCGAACACAAAGUACGCAAUUGAUAUAGGGCCACCUUUAGACGGUUCAGAACGCUUGUCUCAAAAGACAAAAAAGGGAGUAUAGCCCCAAUCCGGAAAAGGACAAACUCACACAUAACAAAGGAACAAUGUUGUGGACUACAGACGCGGUCCCUGUACGAAGGAGCCUCCACGACCUAAGCAUCCAGAAGUUUCAAGAUCACAUCCGACAGGUACCAAAGAAAGCCUCUGGGAUCCCUGAAAAUUGAAGGUUGCCCAAAGAUUUCUUCACUCAUAAAAGGAAAUUAGCUUUGAAACCUAGUAGGGAUAAUGAGCUCGCCUCUAGGGUAACUCAUCUUCCUAUUAAUAUCCUCAGAACUGACCAAAAAAAAUGAGGCCAAGAUUAGACCAGUACAGAGAGCGAAACCACCAACAUCAAAACUGGGUUGGCGAUGAAGAACAUCGUUGCCACCAAGAAGUACGAAGAACUCACCCAUAAUUUCUGAAAGUCUCUUAAGUAGUUUUAGGAAACCGGUUGAAACCGCAUAAGAUCCAUCAGAUGCCAACACAAGAAACUUAAAAGGGGACAAUGAUACAGUUCCAAUCCCACAACAAAUAGUUUCUCAAAGAAAUGGGACCAAACUAUCUGACCCUUUUCUUAGGGAAACCCAACAAAUGAAAACAGAUCAGACAAAAAUUCAUAAGUCACUGACAUGUGGCAUUAAGAAGAUGUCUCCCGGCCAAAAGCUCGAGACCAAUAGUGCAAGAAGAUGCCUCCCGGCCAAAAGCUCGAGACCAAUAGUGCAAUGUGAAUUUUAUCCAUAGAUGGAGCUAAUAAAUGUUAAGAACCAGAUGACAAAAGAGCACGUAACCCUUGGGCAGGUCUGAGGCAAGCCAACUGAUAGAAGCUGGACCAAGGAUCCUAUUCUACAACACACAUUGAUACCAGGGAGGCUACGACAUCUCCUAAUCGAUCAUCAUCACCAAACCCUUACAUCUGUUUUGUCUCUCAAGAGACAUCCACAUCGUAAAUUGCUUACAUUUUCAUACCCUUCCCCAUUAUUAUUUUACUGGCCUUAAAAAAAUUUGUCAUAAAAUAAACAUAUCAUAAGAAUUGAAGAUUAUUUAUAUAACCUUUCACCAACACGUUGAAUUCGUGUUGUUUUCAAUGUACUCCAAUUAUAAUUUGACUGAAUAUCUUUUUUGUUUAAGAAGAGAGUAAGAUAACGAUUAAUUUUCAACUUAACUAUAACAAUUAUUAUUAUAGCUAAUAGUGGGGAUGGAAAACUUGUUUGAUAUGCCUAAAUUGCAUGCUACUUUGAUACCUCAAAAUUUACAAGAUAAGGAGACACUCUAAACAAAACUAUUUGCUGCGUUAUUUCAUUUCAUUGCAACCAUUUUAGAGUACAACAUCAUAAUUUCAAAGUCCAUGCGAAAUUACAAAGGAAAAAAGAUGAAGAAGAAAAAUACAAUUAUUCGGUAUAUGCAUAAAAACUAAAUGACAUCUCGUGGAACAUUCUAACAUAAUAAGCAUAUUAUAAAAUUUCUACACAUUGGCCUUUACGACACCUAAUAUUAUGUGGUGGCUUUUUUGGACAAUCUUUAUCCGUUUUACAAGGUUUAUUAACAAUGCCGGGAAUAUAACCAUAUACUGUUAUGGAAAGAAAUAUGGAAAUAAAUAGAAUAAGAACAUAAACAUAGUUUAGAGUUUUGGCCAUAUUUUUUCUGUUUGCAUCUAAAACAUAUGAUAUCAUUUUAUCUAUUUAUAGUGUAUAAAGUUCAUGCUCCUAUAAAAUUAAUUAAAUAAAUUAAGCAUUUAUGAAAUUCUAAAAACCUUUCAUAAAAUUAUAAUAUUUACUAAAUGCCAGUUGAGCAUAUCAGUAUGUUAUGUUUGUGCCUUAGGCGCAUUUAGAAAGGUGGCCAUAUAAUAAACUUGAUAAUUAUUAGAGUUGAAUAUUAUUUAAUUAACUUUUCACUACAUUAAGUCAUUGUAUUAUUAACCUUUCGUUAUAAUAAAGGGUAAUUUUUAUUUUUUAUACCAUGGUGUUGAGGAAAAUCACAAAAUCCUUCUGAUGUUGAUGUUUUAAUGAUAAGAAUUAUUUGAACGUAAAGAUCGAAAUGAUUAUGAUAUGAUAUGUGUUAUGUUUUAUCACUUAGGUUUACACGAGGGUGUUGGCUUGGGAUCUUGGAGCAUGCUUCUAUCAAAGUCUAAGAGUACAAUUCUCCUCGACGUGGAAUUCAGUGGGCUAGUUU
RNAcentral lists this long non-coding RNA (2666 nucleotides) under Medicago truncatula (barrel medic). Its description in RNAcentral is "long non-coding RNA (MTRU_LNC005124)". The record is from RNAcentral. Lineage: Eukaryota; Viridiplantae; Streptophyta; Magnoliopsida; Fabales; Fabaceae.